This is a small nuclear RNA of Nycticebus coucang (slow loris), 163 nucleotides long. RefSeq annotates it as U1 spliceosomal RNA. The transcript has a single exon. The record is from RefSeq and is a predicted model, not a curated record. Lineage: Eukaryota; Metazoa; Chordata; Mammalia; Primates; Lorisidae.
AAAAAAACCUGGUGGGGAGAUACCGCAAUCACAAAGGUGGUUUUCCCAGGGUGAGGCUUAUCCAUGGCACUCGGGAUGUUCUGACCCCUGCAAUUUCCCCGAAUGUGGGAAACUCAACUGCAUAAUUUGUGGUAAUGGGACACUGCAUUCGCGCUUUCCCCUG